Molecule: ribosomal RNA, 417 nt
Filed under: uncultured bacterium
Lineage: Bacteria
Description: bacterial SSU rRNA
Rfam family: Bacterial small subunit ribosomal RNA
Source: RNAcentral
AUUAAUUCGAUGCAACGCGUAGAACCUUACCUGGGUUUGACAUGGAUCGGGAGUGCUCAGAGAUGGGCGUGCCUCUUUUGGGGUCGGUUCACAGGUGGUGCAUGGCUGUCGUCAGCUCGUGUCGUGAGAUGUUGGGUUAAGUCCCGCAACGAGCGCAACCCUUGUUCACUGUUGCCAGCACGUUAUGGUGGGGACUCAGUGGAGACCGCCGGGGUCAACUCGGAGGAAGGUGGGGAUGACGUCAAGUCAUCAUGCCCCUUAUGUCCAGGGCUUCACGCAUGCUACAAUGGCUGGUACAGAGAGUGGCGAGCCUGUGAGGGUGAGCGAAUCUCGGAAAGCCGGUCUCAGUUCGGAUUGGGGUCUGCAACUCGACCUCAUGAAGUCGGAGUCGCUAGUAAUCGCAGAUCAGCAACGCUG